RNAcentral lists this ribosomal RNA (484 nucleotides) under uncultured bacterium. RNAcentral describes it as "partial 16S ribosomal RNA". It matches the Rfam family "Bacterial small subunit ribosomal RNA", at positions 30 to 507 of the family's 1533-position model. The record is from RNAcentral.
AUUGAACGCUAGCGGGAUGCUUUACACAUGCAAGUCGAACGGCAGCGCGGACUUCGGUCUGGCGGCGAGUGGCGAACGGGUGAGUAAUGUAUCGGAACGUGCCCAGUAGCGGGGGAUAACUACGCGAAAGCGUAGCUAAUACCGCAUACGCCCUACGGGGGAAAGCAGGGGAUCGUAAGACCUUGCACUAUUGGAGCGGCCGAUAUCGGAUUAGCUAGUUGGUGAGGUAACGGCUCACCAAGGCGACGAUCCGUAGCUGGUUUGAGAGGACGACCAGCCACACUGGGACGUGGACACGGCCCAGACUCCUACGGGAGGCAGCAGUGGGGAAUUUUGGACAAUGGGGGCAACCCUGAUCCAGCCAUCCCGCGUGUGCGAUGAAGGCCUUCGGGUUGUAAAGCACUUUUGGCAGGAAAGAAACGUCGCGGGCUAAUACCCCGUGGAACUGACGGUACCUGCAGAAUAAGCACCGGCUAACUACGUG